UUGCCCUGCGAAACCUCUGUAUAUGAAAAGUUGGCCCUCCAUGUACAUGGGUUUCCCAUCCUGUCACAGAAUUUUCCACACUCCUUGACAGAGGUGCUUAACCCUUAUCCAUCAGCAUUCUCAGACAGCACCUCCGGUUAGGGACAGUAUCUGACCGUCCGACAUCCCUGCAGCCCCCAUGUGUCACACAGACUCAGCCUCAGGUAGAUGGUUUCCGUAGAUGGUGGCUUUCUUUGGACCCUUGACAUCAACCAGUUACUAUUUGACUCUUCUGCAGAACCCCAUGUUGACCCCUGCUUUGAGGUGGCAGAGUUAACACUACUCUUCGUUAUAAGCUCUCGUCUGGGGCAACUCAGAAGAACGGGACCAGAUGUGCAGAGGUAAUGAAUACCAGGGAAUCAGGAAACCACUGGAUCAGUUCUUUGAGCCACAGAACAACACUCAUCCCAGCAGCUGGGAAGCUAUCUGCAAAAGUCCAUCUGCAGAAAGGGCUUCCUGGUCUUGCGUGUGGCUGGGCCAUUUCUCUGGAUGCAGGUUUUUCAUUAUACAGUCUUCUCAAAGAACCACCUGCUCUCAACACCUUCUCGGUGACUCCAUUUCCCCUCCUCU
This 609-nucleotide long non-coding RNA is filed under the name Homo sapiens (human). Its description in RNAcentral is "PCBP1 antisense RNA 1". Lineage: Eukaryota; Metazoa; Chordata; Mammalia; Primates; Hominidae. The record is from RNAcentral.